UACCAGCACCCCGAGUGGUCGGGACGAUUAUUGGGCCUAAAGCAUCCGUAGCCGGUUCUACAAGUCUUCCGUUAAAUCCACCUGCUCAACAGAUGGGCUGCGGAGGAUACUAUAAGACUAGGAGGCAGGAGAGGCAAGCGGUACUCAGUGGGUAGGGGUAAAAUCCGUUGAUCCAUUGAAGACCACCAGUGGCGAAGGCGGCUUGCCAGAAUGCGCUCGACGGUGAGGGAUGAAAGCUGGGGGAGCAAACCGG
This 253-nucleotide ribosomal RNA is filed under the name uncultured bacterium. RNAcentral's name for it is "partial 16S ribosomal RNA". It matches the Rfam family "Archaeal small subunit ribosomal RNA", at positions 474 to 727 of the family's 1478-position model. The record is from RNAcentral.